UAAAUUGUAAUUUUUUGUUUAAUUUGGGAUUUUGUUGUUCAACUUUUAAGACAAGCUCAUCGUAAGUUUCAUAUUGGUCACCUCUAAAAAUCUUCGGACUUUUUGAACUCAAUGGGUCGCGAAAACCAUUUACUGAAUUCGCUCGAUAAGAUUCCUAGUAGAGUCCCUUCAUCACGGGUUGAACACCAAGUUUUUGAUUUGAGAGAAUAUUCAUAAUGUUUGGGACCACUGGUUUUAGGUUAGUACCGAUUCUAACAAGACUAAACUUGGAUGCUAGUCUAAUAUAAUGGGACUUAAGGUCAUAAUUAUACUAAGACUAAAAAUUUCCUUUAAGCACUCGAUACUAUAGGAAACAUGUUUGGCAAUAGCUGACUGUACCUACCUUACUGGGGAUGAAAGCCAAAUUUGAUGAGCAGGAGGCUGCUUAUUUAUUACAUAAGUCCCCUUUUCACCAAGCAUAAGAGUAAUUACUCCAUUCUGCAAAUCUAGUGUUAGAAUCGUUUCAACACAAACUCAGCUAGACUAAUUGUAAUGUUUGGGCAACUCUGUUGACAUACAGCAUAUUGAAUAUCAUAAUCUUUUUUUCCUACUUCUUCUAAUAAAUCCUCAAAUGUAUCAUUUAAGACAUCAAGGGUGUCAUCUGCAACUCGAUGAUACUCAAGAUCCGUCAAAGCUCCAUUAUGCCGUACUUGUGAAUAAUACCUACAGCGUAGCCCAAAAACAUUAGUCGAGAAUUCAUAAGGCUUCAAAAAAAUUGGGGUUCGUCUGCGAAAGGCUGCUCGCAAAGACUGCAUAUUUCAUAUCACGGCUCUUUCACAAUCUCUCUUGUCGGUGUAGGCUUAAUUGCUAGGUACAAAGAAAGAAAAUAAAUGAUAUUUUUCGAUAAAAUUAUAUGUCAAUAAUUCUCUUAAUUGCAAAUAUUACAAAAUUACUCUUCAAUGAGUAGUUAGCGGAUAAUUCGUGUGUUCGCACUUGGAUCAAAUUACGGUCGCAAACUCAAGAAGUGAAUUUACAUAAAGAAGGAAUUCUGGGUUUUGGGAAAUAUGCUGUACAGAACGACUUAGUCCUUUUCGAAUAAAGUAUUUAUAUCUAAACGGUUUGAACAAUUGUACUUUAAGGUACAUCGCUUCAACACUCAUCCAUAAAAGGGUAAUGAUCUUAAUUGAGUUGCAAUUAGUAGAAAAUGGAAAAU
This is a non-coding RNA of Schizosaccharomyces pombe (fission yeast), 1192 nucleotides long. NCBI's taxonomy places the organism in Eukaryota, Fungi, Ascomycota, Schizosaccharomycetes, Schizosaccharomycetales, Schizosaccharomycetaceae. The record is from the annotation of a GenBank genome assembly.